This 3602-nucleotide ribosomal RNA is filed under the name Nanobdellota archaeon. RNAcentral's name for it is "23S ribosomal RNA". It matches the Rfam family "Archaeal large subunit ribosomal RNA". The record is from RNAcentral. Lineage: Archaea; Nanobdellati; Nanobdellota.
UAAAUAGACCUAUUACACUAUUAGGUGGAUGACUUGGCUUGGGUAGUGAUGAAGGGCGUGGCAAGCUACGAAAUGCUAUGGCGAGGCGCAUGCAGCCAUUGAACCAUAGAUUCCUGAAUGAGACUUCUUGUCUUAUGACAUUCCGAAAGGAAAACUCACCCAGGGAAGUAAAGCGUUACAGUACCUGGAGGAAAAGAAAUCAAUUGAGAUGCUGUCAGUAAAGGCGAUUGAACACAGCAGAGAGCAAACUGAAUCUUACCAGAAAUGGUUAAGAGAUGUGGUGUUGCAGGACUUGUUUUUAGUCUUAUUUGUUUGAUUCAAAGUCUGCUGGAAAGCAGUACCAUAGAGGGUGAUAGUCCCGUAGAAGUAGAACAAAAGAUGUACAAGUAUCCUGAGUAGGAUGCAUUGGAAAUUGCGUCUGAAUCUGGGAGGCAUCAACUCCUAACUCUAAAUAUAACCCAAGUCCGAUAGAGUAUAGUACAGUGAUGGAACGUUGAAAAGAACCCAUUACAGGGAGUCAAAAGAGCCUGAAACCUAAUAGUUAUUGAGAGAUACGGCCUUUCGGGGUUGUAUCGUGCGUUUCGAAUAACGAGCCAGGGAGUUCUUUUCUGUGGCAAGGGUAAGUGAUAUCAUCACGCACCCAUAGCUAAAGCAAUUGUCCGCAGCUUUUUGUCAGGGACAUGGUGUUAAUGCGCCAAAAGUCACAGGGAAGUUACCCGAAACCGGUCGAUCUAACCUACAGCAGGAUGAAGUGAACCUGACGGUUUGUGGAAGUCCGAAGCGGUGCUGUGUGCAUGCGUUCGUGUGACUGUUGGUUAGGGGUGAAAAGCCAAUCGAGAUCGGUAAUAGCUGGUUCCUGCCGAAAUAAGCCUUAGUUUAGUCUCGACGGAGGUCGCCUGUGAGGUAGAGCCACGGAUUUGUGGGUUUGGGGAGGAAACUCCUCGCCCACUUGUUCAACUCCGAAUGUGCAGGCAUCGUAGAAGUCGGGAAAAAGGGGCGCGGGGUAAACUUGCGUCUCUAUGGGGGAACAACCCCCUCUAUGGUUAAGGUCCCAAAAUAUCCGCUAAGUGUUAAAGGGCGAAAGGUGUAUGUCACCCGAGACAGAUGGGAGGUAUGCUUAGAAGCAGCAAUCCUUUAAAGAAAGCGUAACAGCUCACCAUUCAAGGUCACGUGCCCUGAAAAUGGACGGGGCUAAGUGGAUUACCGAUACCAUAGUCCUCCGUAAGGAGUGAGGUAGGCAGGCGCCUUGCAUGGGCAGAAGCCUUUUCGUAAGAAUUGGUGGACCGUGUAGGGAUGAGAAUCCUGGUAGUAGUAGGAUCUAUAUACGGUGAGAAUCCGUAAUGCCGAAAGCCCAAGGGUUUCUUCGCAAUGUUCGUCAGCGAAGAGUAAGUCGGUCCUAACCCAAGUCCUAAUUGGUCUAGUGGGAAGGGGAAACAGGUUAAGAUUCCUGUACUAUAUAUGUACGCGCGGCAACGCAAGGCAUAUUUCUGACAUUUUAGGCUAUACCAACAAGUAUCGUCGUACUUGCUAACUUCUAUAAAUUCGGUGAGUAUCGUAAUGAUGAGACCCGAAUUAAAGGAGGAAUGGCGGUUCUGUGGAUCGUUUGGUAGAGGCCUGGAAUCAGUGAAAAGGGAAUGUGCAAGGAUCAUAUAUAUCCGUACCAAGAACCAGCACUGGUGGGCUGGCAGAGAAAGCCAAGGCAUGAAGGUUUAAACUAGUUUAGGGAAUUCGACAGAUUAGCCCUGUACCUUCGGUAUAAAGGGUCCCUGCGUCUGUAUAUUUAAUAUGCGGAUACAGGGUUCAAAGAUCAAGGGGCUCCGACUGUUUAAUAAAAACGUAGCGUUUCGCAAGUCCGCAAGGAUGUGUAUGGAACGUGACAUCUGCCCAGUGCCUGUAUCUCAAACUCCCUUUCAAGGGAACUAAGGACAGGUAAACGGCGGGAAUAACUAUGAUUCUCUUAAGGUGAAAGGUUGCCUUAGUAAAAUUUGGCUAUAUGCUGGAACAUCUGAGUAUCUCACACUACCUUUCGAAUUAACUUCGAUUAAUUUGUAAUGAUGUUUAUUAAUAUCAAAAACAAAAGGUGAAAAUGUGGUGAGUGCAGACAAUCAGCAGGAAAGACUAGAUGCAAACUGGAUAUCAGGAUUUGUUGACGGCGAGGGUUGUUUUCAUAUAGCAAUCAAUAAGCUUGAAAAAAUGACACUCGGAUGGCAAGUACUUCCAGAGUUUAGGGUUGUUCAACAUGAAAGAAGUGAACAAGUUCUCCAUAAGAUUAAAUCUUAUUUUGGAUUUGGUUCAGUUGGAAUUAACAACAACGACAGAAAAGAAUUUCGUGUUAGAGGAUUAAAUAACUUAAAUAAAAUAAUAACUUUUUUUAAGAAAUAUCCUUUACACACAGUAAAGAAAAAUAACUUUGAAGUUUUUUCUGACGUAAUUCACAUGAUGAACAAUAAAGAACACUUAACAAAAGAAGGGCUUGAUAAAAUAGCAAACCUAAUUUCUAAAAUGAAUCGCAGACCGCGACUCAAAUAUCUAGAAUCCUCAGAGACUACACGCCAAACACUUGGUAACAAGUGAUGAUAUAGUCCGAUCCUUGCAGCGAUGUAAGGAGCUAAACAGAAAUGGUUUAGUCACAUUAGAAAUAAUGUAGUAACAAAUUGAGCGCAAUACCCUGCCGAUUGAAUGUCGGCUUGCAUGAAUGGUGUAACGAGGGUCCCAUUGUCCCAAACUAGUGUCCUCUGAAUAUACUAUACUGGUGUGAAGGCCAGUGACCUCCAGUGGGAAGCGAAGACCCCGUAGAACUUUACUACAGCUUGUCGUUGUGGUAUAAUACUUAGUAUAUAGUAUAAGUGGGAGCUGUUUGAUGGUUAGUUCGUUAGAGCUAAUCGUAGGCGACCGUGUAAUACCACUUUCUUUGUGUUGUAUCACUAACUCGUAUACGAGGACAUCGACUGGUGGGUAGUUUGGCUGGGGCGGCACCCCGCUGAAAAGGUAUCAGUGGGGCCCAAAGGUAAGCUCAUUUGGUUUAGAAAUCCAAAGUAGAGUGCAAGAGCAAAAGCUUGCCUAACUGAGUUCCAACCGUUAAGGUACUCAGAGACGAAAGUCUGGUCUAGCGAACCCCUAUGUCCUUAUUGAUGAGGGCUAGGUAUGACAGAAAAGCUAUCUCGGGGAUAAUUGAGUUGUAGCGCCUAAGAGUUCAGAUCGACGGCGCUGCUUGCUACUUCGUUGUCGGCUCUUCGCAUCCUGGAAGUGCAGAAGCUUCCAAGGGUACGGGUGUUCACCGGUUAAAGCGGAUCGUGAGCUGGGUUAAGAACGUCGUGAGACAGUUUGUAUGAUAUCUACUGGGGGUGUCAAAGUCUGAGUGGAAGGAUCUUUUAGUACGAGAGGAACAAAGGUUCGGCGCCACUGGUUUACCAGUUGUCCGACAGGGCAGGCUGGGCAGCUACGCGCCAAGGGAUAAGAGCUGAAAGCAUCUAAGCUCGAAACCCGCCGCGAAAAUAGACUAAGAGUACCUGAAGAAUACAGGUUUGAUAGGGUCGGGGUGUAAGUACCGAGGUAACGAGGUAUUCAGCCCGCGACUACUAAUAACUCGACUUAUCUAUUUA